Molecule: ribosomal RNA, 186 nt
Filed under: uncultured bacterium
Lineage: Bacteria
Description: partial 16S ribosomal RNA
Rfam family: Bacterial small subunit ribosomal RNA
Source: RNAcentral
CCCUGCAUGAAGUCGGAAUUGCUAGUAAUCGCGGAUCAGCAUGCCGCGGUGAAUACGUUCCCGGGCCUUGUACACACCGCCCGUCACACCAUGGGAGCCGGUAAUACCCGAAGUCAGUAGUCCAACCUCGUGAGGACGCUGCCGAAGGUAGGAUUGGCGACUGGGGUGAAGUCGUAACAAGGUAAC